AUGGAAGGCUACUUUGCGGAGGUACCUACAUACCCUCCUCGUCUCUUCCGCAGAAGGUACCGAAUGCGGCGUAGUUUGUUUGUGAAGAUUGUCACCGAUUGUGAGGCCGCCUCCUAUUACUUUAAACGUCGUAGAUCCGCCGCCGGUAUCAUGGGGUUUAGUGCAUAUCAAAAGAUAUCGGCGGCAAUGCGGGUACUCGCUUAUGGCAUACCCGCGGAUUAUACCGACGAGUAUCUUCGCAUUGGGCAAGAUACAACCACGGAGUCAGUCCGUAGGUUUGCCAAGUUGGUCAUCCGGUUGUACGGUGAGCAGUAUCUUCGGGCACCAAACGAGGAAGAUACAAAGAGAUUAAUGGAAAUGAUGAAAAAAGGGGAUGGCCGGGGAUGCUUGGUAGUCUUGAUUGCAUGCAUUGGAGGUGGAAAAAUUGCCCAAAGGCAUGGCACGGAAUGUAUUGCGGUAAAAGCCGUGAUGCUACCAUUGUGCUUGAGGCCGUAG
Molecule: ribosomal RNA, 495 nt
Filed under: Triticum aestivum (bread wheat)
Lineage: Eukaryota; Viridiplantae; Streptophyta; Magnoliopsida; Poales; Poaceae
Description: partial small subunit ribosomal RNA
Source: RNAcentral